GAACUGUUUAACAUGGCCAUUCCUUGGGUCCGCCUUUUUAGAACAUGCGUAUUUCUUGGUUGUGGUUUUAAUACAUCUUAUCGACUUUAAUUUGGGCUUUGGCUCCUUCUUUCCACAGACGGCACAUGAUGUGAUUCCAAUGGGGUUGUCUUAUGGAGGGCCAGGAGGUGGACUUCAAUGAUCCUUGUAAGUCCUUCCAACUCAGGGUAUUGUGAUUCUAUGUCAAGCAACCAGCAACACCUGUGAUAUUUUUCAGAAUGAGAAAUUUGUAGCUGAAAGAAAACCUGACUGUUGGAAUGAAUUUCAGCUUUCACCUAGAGACCUGAAGAAAACUACUCCUUAUGAAGCAUCUCGCUACUUUCUUUAUAACAUCUUUAUUGUGAUUUCCUUUCUUUUUACACUGAUGUUCUAAAAAAAGCUCUGCCACCAGCUGUAGUGUUGAGAGUAUGUAAACACAAAAUAUAUUAUCUGUAUGUAUCCAGAACACUGAAGCACACAGAAUACUGUGCUUUGAAUCUGCAACUGCUGUGCUAAAACUAAACUGGAACCAAAACUGAACUACUGAAACUAAACUGGAAGAUUUAAUGGAAAAUUACAUUUUGAAAGUUGCCUUUGAAAAACACACUGAAUAAAUAAGCUGUGGUGGUUUCA
This is a long non-coding RNA of Cinclus cinclus, 651 nucleotides long. RefSeq lists it as uncharacterized. NCBI's taxonomy places the organism in Eukaryota, Metazoa, Chordata, Aves, Passeriformes, Cinclidae. The transcript has 3 exons. The record is from RefSeq and is a predicted model, not a curated record.